CAAUAGCGUAUAUUUAAGUUGUUGCAGUUAAAAAGCUCGUAGUUGGAUUUCGGGUGUGAACGGCCGGUCCGUCUUUGAUGUGUACUGGUUGGUUGCGCCUUAUUGUCGAGGACAUGUUCUGGCUUUCAUUAGCUGGACAUGGAGUCGGCAGCGUUACUUUGAGAAAAUUAGAGUGUUCAAAGCAGGCUAUCGCUCUGAAUACUACAGCAUGGAAUAACACGAUAGGACUCCGAGCCUAUUCUGUUGGUCUUCGGGACCGGAGUAAUGAUUAAGAGGGACAGUUGGGGGCAUUCGUAUUCCGAUGUCAGAGGUGAAAUUCUUGGAUUAUCGGAAGACGAACAUCUGCGAAAGCAUUUGCCAAGGAUGUUUUCAUUGA
RNAcentral lists this ribosomal RNA (376 nucleotides) under uncultured eukaryote. RNAcentral describes it as "partial 18S ribosomal RNA". It matches the Rfam family "Eukaryotic small subunit ribosomal RNA", at positions 592 to 976 of the family's 1831-position model. The record is from RNAcentral.